This 254-nucleotide ribosomal RNA is filed under the name uncultured bacterium. Its description in RNAcentral is "partial 16S ribosomal RNA". It matches the Rfam family "Bacterial small subunit ribosomal RNA", at positions 524 to 776 of the family's 1533-position model. The record is from RNAcentral.
CACGUAGGGGCCAAGCGUUGUCCGGAUUUAUUGGGCGUAAAGAGCUCGUAGGCGGUUGGGUAAGUCGGGUGUGAAAACUCAGGGCUCAACUCUGAGACGCCACUCGAUACUGCUCUGACUCGAGUCCGGUAGGGGAGCGUGGAAUUCCCGGUGUAGCGGUGAAAUGCGCAGAUAUCGGGAGGAACACCAGUGGCGAAGGCGGCGCUCUGGGCCGGAACUGACGCUGAGGAGCGAAAGCGUGGGUAGCAAACAGG